Molecule: long non-coding RNA, 778 nt
Filed under: Lactuca sativa (garden lettuce)
Lineage: Eukaryota; Viridiplantae; Streptophyta; Magnoliopsida; Asterales; Asteraceae
Description: long non-coding RNA (LSAT_LNC004549)
Source: RNAcentral
AAGGGUUCCGACAUCGCUGCUUACACUCCUAGAUUCUGUGAUCUGGCGCUUCUCUGUCCGGGAAUGGUCACCCCGGAAAGCAAGAAAAUCGAGAGGUACAUCUGGGGACUGACGCAACCCACCAAAGGAAAUGUCUUGGCUGCUAGGCCAACUACGUUUGAAAGCGCCAAGGAUCUGGCACAAACUCUGAUCGAUCAUGGAAUCGAUCUGGAUGAAGUGACAACUGUCCCUGGACCCCAAAAGGAUAGNGGCACAAACUCUGAUCGAUCAUGGAAUCGAUCUGGAUGAAGUGACAACUGUCCCUGAACCCCAAAAGGAUAAGAAGUCUGGCAACAAGCGAAAGGGUCAGUCUUCGCAGGAGCCCUCCAAGAAACAACAAAUAGUAGCAGUUCAUGCUGUUACUGCUCCUGCUGCUGCUCCCACUGCUGCUCCAACCACCCAAUCUCCUACGGGUGGUUAUGCUGGAAAGCUACCCCUGUGCAACAAGUGUAACAUCCAUCAUCACAGGCCCUGCCGUGAGUUGAUCUGCAACAACUGUGGGAAGAAGGGACGCACAGCUCGAUACUGCAAGACACCGGCUCAACCAACCAACCAGGCCCCGGGAGCGGACGCUGGUCAGACUUGUUAUGGAUGUGGAGAGGCUGGGCACUACAGGAGAAACUGCCCCAAAGCAUCAACUGGUGGCAAUACAGGGAGAGUUUUGGCUAUGGGCCAGAAUGAAGUAGUUGCUGAUCCUACCGUUGUUACGGGUACGUUCCUCCUUGACAAGGUGGAUUUC